RNAcentral lists this long non-coding RNA (720 nucleotides) under Mytilus galloprovincialis (Mediterranean mussel). Lineage: Eukaryota; Metazoa; Mollusca; Bivalvia; Mytilida; Mytilidae. The record is from RNAcentral.
CAAAUUUGUGUUAUUCUUUUAUAGGUCUCUUACUUUCUUUUUUCGAUUUUAAACUCAAAGUAAAGUCAAAUUUGUGUUAUUCAUUUAUAGGUCUCUUAUUUUAUUUUUUUAUUUUUAACGCAAAACAAAGUCAAAUUAGAUUUGUUCGUUAGAUCUCUUAUUUUCCUAUUUUUAUUUCUUACUCAAAUGAAAGUCAAAUUUGUACAUGUAUUAUUCAAUUAUAGGUCUCUUAUUUUCUUUUUCGGAUUUUUUAACUUUAAGUAAAGUCAAAUUUGUGUUGUUCCUUUAAGGUCUCUUAUUUUUUGGAUUUUUAACUCAAAGCAAAGUCAAACUUGUGUUGAUCUUUUAUAGGUCUCUUAUUUUCAAAUUUGUGUUGUUCGUUUAAGGUUUCUUAUUUUCUUUCUGUUUAUUUUUAACUCAAAGUAAGUGUUGUUCACAGGAUCUCUCAUUAACAUUGUUUAAUUUGCAAUUCAAAGCGAACUCGAGGGGAAGUUCAACAUUUGUUUUGUGAUUUGUGUUAUUGUAAGGUUUUGGCCUCAUUGACAUUUCUUUUAAUUAAUAUUAAUACAUGUACUGCAAAACCAUUUUUUUGUUUGAAGUAUAUUUUUGGAAGUACUUCAGAUUUUUAAAUGAACUUUAAUUAGGCCACCCUUGAAAAAAAUCUUUGUAUAAUAUUGCCUACAUGCAUGACAUGUAGAGAUGGAAAUUUUCUUUGGCCAG